RNAcentral lists this long non-coding RNA (1330 nucleotides) under Lotus japonicus. RNAcentral's name for it is "long non-coding RNA (LJAP_LNC001147)". Lineage: Eukaryota; Viridiplantae; Streptophyta; Magnoliopsida; Fabales; Fabaceae. The record is from RNAcentral.
CGUCUCGAUUGGUUGCAUUGGCAAGUUUAGCAUCAGUUGAAAGGAUCAAAGAAAAUAAUUGGUUAGGUGGCAAGUUCACAAAAAGACUGGCUCCCUGCAAAUAAAAAAGUAAAAUAUUAUUUCAACAAUUACUCUACUCUUAAUUUAAUUGUAGUUAGAAUCAGUUUUCUGUUAGUCUUUUUCGGUUAUCUAGUUGUUUGGUUGUUAUACUAUUUAGCUCGAUUACAGUUAGAGACUUAGUUUCACAUUAUGUGUAACUACAAAUACGUUCAAUUAGAUCAGUUAAUCAGAAAAUUCUCUACUUUUCUCUCAUUUUCCUAUUAAGUACAGUAACAGUUGUGAUACUUAAAUAUAUAAACGGGACAUACAUUCAACAAAUAACUCAUUUUUCUCUUUUUACAUAUAUUACAUCAAUUACUUCUUACUCUUCGGUACUUUUUUUGUCUGAGUAUCUAUUGAAUAUAUGCACUAUAAAAACGUCUACAAAUAAUUUUCCUUACAAUAAUAGCAAUUGAAUUUAAGCCAGCUUAAAUAUAUACAAUUUUUUUGUUGUUGUCUAUUAUUAGAGAUUUAAGGGAAUAUGCCAUUUAAGGGAAUCCUCAUAACUCUCCUAAAUGAGAUUUUUUUUUCUUUGUUCUGUUUGUUUUUUCUGAUUCCUCCCAUGUUUCCUCAUUUUCUCUGUUUUCUUUUGGCCUUGGGUCUGUACAAUUACAUUUGUUUCUCUUUGGCACAUCUUGAGCUCUAUAUAUAUAAAUUUGGGUUAUCUAAAAAAAAGAGAUUUUUUUCAAUUCACAUUACUUAGAUAAAGAAUAACAAUAAGUUGAAGAAAGAAGGAUGAUACCGUAAUUUGUUGGUUGUUACCCAAAGUUAUAGUACUGCUGAACUCUCUAUCAAUGGUGCUAGCAGCAACAGUAAACACCCAUGGAGCCACAUUCAACACAGUUCCAAGUGCAGGUCCAUCAUUCCCUGCAGAAGCAACUACUAAUAUAUUUUUGGCAAGUGCAUGAAAUGAUCCUAUGGAAACUUCAUCAGUGAAAAUUUCUUCAGCACUGAUAAAAGAUCUUCCUCCAGCAGAUACAGAAAUCACAUCAACACCAUCGCUUAUGGCUUGGUCUAUGGCCGCCAACACAUCCGCGCCAUAGCAACUAGCUGGAUCGGUUAGCGACCAGCACACUUUGUAGGUUGCAACUCGUGCUCUUGGUGAUCCACCUUUUGCUGUGCCAUUACCAUUACUAAAUACUUGUGCUCCAGGAACGAAAUUUCCACCAGCUAUUGAUAGUGUGUGGGUACCAUGGCCUACUAAGUCACGUGCUGUUUGUUGUGUUGGGGG